This 645-nucleotide long non-coding RNA is filed under the name Daucus carota (carrot). RNAcentral's name for it is "long non-coding RNA (DCAR_LNC004629)". The record is from RNAcentral. Lineage: Eukaryota; Viridiplantae; Streptophyta; Magnoliopsida; Apiales; Apiaceae.
CAAUACUUAAGGAGCUAAAUAGCUCAAUGAACCGCUGUAAAUAAUUACUCAACAAUCUCAACUUUCUUACAACCAUUGUAAACAGAUUCUUUGACAGCAUCUAAUGUAAGUUGCGUCUUCCUACUGAUGGUAGGCCAUUUCUUGUCAGGUUUUGCACCUUUAUUUCUUAUAUCCGCCACUAACCUCGAGAACUCCCUCACCAUCAGACAUUCCUGAGGAAGAUCUGUCAUAACUGUGUGCUCGCUUGGCUUCGGCACCCAUCCAGUCAUCAAGUCAUUGAAUCCUGACAUUACAGCAGUGGUAAAAGAGGCUUUGUUUUCUUCAUAAGGGAUGACAAAAUCGUGCAUAUGCAAAGUCCCCUUAGUCCCGACAAAAGUGACAUCCAUGAUCAAGUUUUCCAAGAAAGAGCAACGGAAGGUUGCUACUUUUCCAUCUUCCCAAUGUAAGGAAGCAUUACAUGUCAAAAUCACGCCUGCUUUGUUGAGAAUAGUUCCAGGCAAAGCAGUUACAAAUUUAGGCAGUUCGAAAUCAGCAGCCCACAGAAUUGACCUGAUGCAGUACCACCCUACGUCACCAAGAGCGCCUAGACCAUCAAGAUCUGGUUUCGUUCUAAUAUCAUUCUCCAGAAAAUCAGGGGUAACCGCG